GGGAAAGCAAAGGGAAAUGAGAAUGGAGAAAAGUAUUUUCUAGAUAAAGCAGUUGGAUUUGAUGGGUGAGCCAGGAGACCAGCAGCAGGGAGGGUGGGUGGUCCAAUGGGCAGAGUUAUGGCUAGGAAGUGAAGAGUCAAGAGCCCCUGUUUCACCCACAGUCCAUGACUGUAGGAUCCAAGGCAUGACCCCUUCCCACAGCAGUGCCCCUUUAAGAGAGGGAAAUGUGAUCAAAAGGGUAAGAAGGGUCCCUUGCUCCUGGAGGGGAACUGCUGGCCCGUCUGCCUGAUAGCCACUGGAGGCAGGCCUUGGUUAGGCCUUCCCACUGACACCCAGUGGGACGUGAUGGCAGAGCAGUUGGUGCUUUUGUCAACAUGCUGCUUCCAGAUCUUCAGGUUACUAUUAAAAUCCCACCAAACCCUGCCACUGGCGUCCGUCGGGCUUUGUGGAUUGAUUCAGAUUUAAGGUGCGCCCCUCUAGGCCUUAGCACUGGAGGUGGAAAGAGCAGAAGAGUAAAACUUGGUCUUGGGGUCCCCAAAUUCAGAGGGAGUGACCGCAACAGGUAAGGUGACAGAUUCUAAACCAAAUUAUGUGAUACAGAUCAUGAAUGGUUUGCUUAUUCCAAAUUAGCACCAACCCUAAACAAAACAGAUAAACUGAAUCCUAAAAUGUACCCAGUAUGUUCACACUGGCCUAGGCUGAUAAUAAAUGUUCU
Molecule: long non-coding RNA, 715 nt
Filed under: Homo sapiens (human)
Lineage: Eukaryota; Metazoa; Chordata; Mammalia; Primates; Hominidae
Description: non-protein coding lnc-ENTPD4-1:1
Source: RNAcentral